Onychomys torridus (southern grasshopper mouse) is the source of this 974-nucleotide long non-coding RNA. RefSeq lists it as uncharacterized. The record is from RefSeq and is a predicted model, not a curated record. Lineage: Eukaryota; Metazoa; Chordata; Mammalia; Rodentia; Cricetidae. The transcript has 4 exons.
GGGUUAGUGUUCUGAUAGGAGACAAUGGAAGAUACCACCAUCUAAUCCUCUUACAUGUAUGGCUGGGAGACAAAAUGGAUCUGAAAGAAAAACUCACUCAUUCAUGGAGCUUGGUCAUGCACAGGAGAUAAAGAAGACUUGGAGAAACAGUUGGGCAUGGCCCUUGAAGUACUCAGGCACUCAUGUCACAAGCCAAAUUGGAUUCUGACACUGUUCCGAGCAGCCAGGCACACAUUGCCAACACUGUUAAGGCUCUGAUGGAGUUGGGCAAGCCUGGAAGAAGCACAAGAGUGUGCAGCCAUGGCUCACUGCAGAGAGAGCUGGACCCAUAGCAUCUCUCAAACCGAAAACUGAACUCUAACACAGGCUGUGUAAGGAUGUCUGGGAGAAGCUACAGAAAGCAGUGAUGACCAAGGAGGGGCCUCAUCAAAAUGAAGCUAUGACAGAUAACCACCUGGAUCCUUGCAGCUGUCAACACAGGCAACAAACCACAGCAGCGUCAGCAGAGUCUCCCAAGAUGAUAUCCACCAUAAACCAGGCUCUCUGAUGUCACGUCAUUGCUGCUGCAGACAUUCCAAAGCAUCUUUUAUGGUCAUCACUCUAUGCCCACCCCCAGAUCCCAUUUAUGUUUUAAUAAUACCAUAGAUCCCAAUUUAAGAAGUAUAAGUCUGCUACCAUUUAAUGAUAUUAUUUUGUGAUCUCAUCUAUUUUAGUAUUUUACAUGUCACAUUGCAGGAGGAGUUUCUAGUCCUUUCCUAAGUGCUAAAGACUCGAGCCCCGUCCCUUGUUACCUAAAUCUAGUGUAUUCUACAUGUGGGUGGCUUAUCUUGUGAUGGCUUCCAACUCAGACAAAUUGCGAUGUGUCAGGGUGGCUGACAAAGGUUAAGUAAGUGUUGGUAGUUCUAGGCCAACCCCAAAGAGAAGGAGGCAGCAUAUUACAUAGAAUGUUAAAAUGUGCUUUCAGUUUGGGCUGG